This 741-nucleotide ribosomal RNA is filed under the name Streptomyces exfoliatus. RNAcentral's name for it is "bacterial SSU rRNA". It matches the Rfam family "Bacterial small subunit ribosomal RNA", at positions 106 to 859 of the family's 1533-position model. Lineage: Bacteria; Bacillati; Actinomycetota; Actinomycetes; Kitasatosporales; Streptomycetaceae. The record is from RNAcentral.
GUGAGUAACACGUGGGCAAUCUGCCCUUCACUCUGGGACAAGCCCUGGAAACGGGGUCUAAUACCGGAUAACACCGGCCUCUGCAUGGGGGCUGGUUAAAAGCUCCGGCGGUGAAGGAUGAGCCCGCGGCCUAUCAGCUUGUUGGUGAGGUAACGGCUCACCAAGGCGACGACGGGUAGCCGGCCUGAGAGGGCGACCGGCCACACUGGGACUGAGACACGGCCCAGACUCCUACGGGAGGCAGCAGUGGGGAAUAUUGCACAAUGGGCGAAAGCCUGAUGCAGCGACGCCGCGUGAGGGAUGACGGCCUUCGGGUUGUAAACCUCUUUCAGCAGGGAAGAAGCGAAAGUGACGGUACCUGCAGAAGAAGCGCCGGCUAACUACGUGCCAGCAGCCGCGGUAAUACGUAGGGCGCAAGCGUUGUCCGGAAUUAUUGGGCGUAAAGAGCUCGUAGGCGGCUUGUCACGUCGGGUGUGAAAGCCCGGGGCUUAACCCCGGGUCUGCAUCCGAUACGGGCAGGCUAGAGUGUGGUAGGGGAGAUCGGAAUUCCUGGUGUAGCGGUGAAAUGCGCAGAUAUCAGGAGGAACACCGGUGGCGAAGGCGGAUCUCUGGGCCAUUACUGACGCUGAGGAGCGAAAGCGUGGGGAGCGAACAGGAUUAGAUACCCUGGUAGUCCACGCCGUAAACGUUGGGAACUAGGUGUUGGCGACAUUCCACGUCGUCGGUGCCGCAGCUAACGCA